GCAGGUGGAGUGUGGAUUCACGGAGGCGCGGUUGGGGCCGGGCCUUUUCUCCUCUCGCCCACCUGAGUAAUUUAACGCCGACUGAUCCAACUGCGCCACGGACACAGGGCCUCUGGACACAUAAGGAGCCAGGAACCAGACGGGUGAGCAACUUGGCGUUACAGAUCCAGUUACUGGCAAGUUACUGGCAAGUUAGUUGGAACCCUGGUCUUCUGCUUCUCAGCCCACUCUGAGCUCAGCUGGGGCCAAGCGGUGCCAUGGCCUGCCAGCCCUCUUGGGGAACAAGAUGACAAGACUAAAACCAAAGGUAUCUGGACAAAAAGCAGCAGUGGAGGGAAUCUAUAAAUAGGAUGCUUUAGACUGAAUGAGUCUUCUCCCUUUGGCAUUACGGCAGACGGCAUCCUUGUAAGGGCCAGCCCACUAAAUAACAACAAGGUCCUGGAUAAAACAUACCUUUUAAGCACAGUGGGAUUUGCAAGAUGUAAGGGAAAUUUCAAAGGUUCCGUUCUACCUUUCAUAUUUGCUUGCUACUCACUAUUGCCACCUCUGGUUUCAAUUUAUGGUUUUAUUUCAGUUCACGGAGGUGUGUGUGUGGUGGUGGUGGGGGGGUGUGGUGCUCUGGUGAAUUUGGCCCCUUCAUUACCUGCAUGACAACACUCUGAACCCUCAGGUUUUGCUGAGAAUUUAAAAAUCAUUGUCCUGGACAUCCUUCCAGCUUUGCAUUCCUUUAUCAACAAACCAACAAAUAAGGACAUACCUUUCCCCAAACAAAGAAAGGGAUUGAGUUUCUCUUCUCUCUUCUGACCUCUCACAAUCGGCGGUUUACAGUUUGUUCAUUCAGAAAGACAAUACAAUACUUAAUAAAU
Phyllostomus hastatus (greater spear-nosed bat) is the source of this 866-nucleotide long non-coding RNA. RefSeq lists it as uncharacterized. The record is from RefSeq and is a predicted model, not a curated record. The transcript is spliced from 3 exons. Lineage: Eukaryota; Metazoa; Chordata; Mammalia; Chiroptera; Phyllostomidae.